Molecule: ribosomal RNA, 466 nt
Filed under: uncultured bacterium
Lineage: Bacteria
Description: bacterial SSU rRNA
Rfam family: Bacterial small subunit ribosomal RNA
Source: RNAcentral
AACGAACGCUGGCGGCAGGCCUAACACAUGCAAGUCGAGCGCCCCGCAAGGGGAGCGGCGGACGGGUGAGUAACGCGUGGGAACGUACCCUUUGCUACGGAAAUAGCCUCGGGAAACUGGGAGUAAUACCGUAUGUGCCCUUCGGGGGAAAGAUUUAUCGGCAAAGGAUCGGCCCGCGUUGGAUUAGGUAGUUGGUGGGGUAAUGGCCUACCAAGCCGACGAUCCAUAGCUGGUUUGAGAGGAUGAUCAGCCACACUGGGACUGAGACACGGCCCAGACUCCUACGGGAGGCAGCAGUGGGGAAUCUUAGACAAUGGGCGCAAGCCUGAUCUAGCCAUGCCGCGUGAGCGAUGAAGGCCUUAGGGUUGUAAAAGCUCUUUUCAGUGGGGAAGAUAAUGACUGUACCCACAGAAGAAAGCCCCGGCUAAACUCCGUGCCAGCAGCCGCCGGUAAAAAGUCAACGUCG